UCCGGUUUGUCACCGGCAGUCUCCUUAGAGUGCCCACCAUAAUGUGCUGGUAACUAAGGACAAGGGUUGCGCUCGUUACGGGACUUAACCCAACAUCUCACGACACGAGCUGACGACGGCCAUGCAGCACCUGUGUUCUAGUUCUCUUUCGAGCACUCCCAAAUCUCUUCAGGAUUCUAGACAUGUCAAGGGUAGGUAAGGUUUUUCGCGUUGCAUCGAAUUAAUCCACAUGCUCCGCCGCUUGUGCGGGCCCCCGUCAAUUCCUUUGAGUUUUAAUCUUGCGACCGUACUCCCCAGGCGGUCAACUUCACGCGUUAGCUGCGGUACUGAGAAAUCGCUUCCCCAACACCUAGUUGACAUCGUUUAGGGCGUGGACUAC
Molecule: unclassified non-coding RNA, 379 nt
Filed under: uncultured Gammaproteobacteria bacterium
Lineage: Bacteria; Pseudomonadati; Pseudomonadota; Gammaproteobacteria
Description: contains 16S-23S intergenic spacer region
Source: RNAcentral